GUUCCUACGGGACGCAGCAGUGGGGAAUAUUGCACAAUGGAGGGAACUCUGAUGCAGCGACGCCGCGUGAGUGAAGAAGUAAUUCGUUAUGUAAAGCUCUAUCAGCAGGGAAGAAAGUGACGGUACCUGAAAAAGAAGCUCCGGCUAAAUACGUGCCAGCAGCCGCGGUAAUACGUAUGGAGCAAGCGUUAUCCGGAUUUACUGGGUGUAAAGGGUGCGUAGGUGGCAGGGCAAGUCAGAUGUGAAAGCCCGGGGCCCAACCCCGGUACUGCAUUUGAAACUGUCCGGCUGGAGUGCAGGAGAGG
This 305-nucleotide ribosomal RNA is filed under the name uncultured bacterium. RNAcentral describes it as "bacterial SSU rRNA". It matches the Rfam family "Bacterial small subunit ribosomal RNA", at positions 335 to 657 of the family's 1533-position model. The record is from RNAcentral.